This is a long non-coding RNA of Neofelis nebulosa (Clouded leopard), 1655 nucleotides long. RefSeq lists it as uncharacterized. The record is from RefSeq and is a predicted model, not a curated record. The transcript has 2 exons. NCBI's taxonomy places the organism in Eukaryota, Metazoa, Chordata, Mammalia, Carnivora, Felidae.
GGCCACUUGGAUUUCCAUAGCUGCUUGUCACCUAUGUGGCCUCAAGCAAACUGACUCCUUUAGGAGUUCUGUAUUCCUCAUUCGUGAAAUGGGACAGUAUGUGCGAGAGGCCUCUGUUGCUUUCACCUGCCCCAUAUAUCCUGUCCCCUUCAGCUGGUGACAAAGUCCGUUUUUUCCUGGAACGACUCUUCCCUGUUCUCUCUGUGGUUUGGCUGGGACAGAUGCCAUCCCUGUUCCAGGGCUCUCGGGGCCUGGGGGGGGAUGAGGUCAUCAGCUUCCCCCCCUGGUCACUGUGAUGUGUUGUUAUCACCUGCAUCCAGGCCUGACCAAUCUAGGGUUCUGUCUUCCUUCGUCUCAGUGACCGGUUUAGAGGCGUGUGUACGCGAACCGAGCUGGGACAGCGGGAUACAAUCCUGGUACUUUCAUCCCGAUGUUGAAAAGAAAGGAGACCCAUCUUCCCACUGAACCUGAAGUGGAUGGGCCUUCUGUAACCCAAGACCUGCUGGGAGCACCAAGUGGACGGAGCGUGGCCAAGAGGGCAGCCAGUAUUGCCGAAGGGUGACCGAGAGGCGGACGGAGUCUUCACCCUGUUUGAGAUUCUCCGUCCAUCCCUGCCUGAAGCCUGUGAACCCAACCGUGAGACAAGCCUGGACUGACCUGCCAGAGGAUGAAAAUCCACACAGAGGAGAGCGGAGCCAUUUCUCCAGAGGCUGUCCUAGACCCGCCAGCCCCCAAGCAAUCUGCUAGCUUCCCAAGAGGAAUAAGUGAGCUCAGGUGUCAUUAGGUGGGCCUGGCCCAUCCAGAGGAUACACUAAGCCCACCUACAGACUUGUGAGUGGACACAAAUGGGUAUUGCUUUAAGCCACUGGGCUUUGUGGCUUUUUGUUAUAUAGAACUACCAAGGCAAUAGUGGUUCAAAAUCAAAAUUUUGUAAUUCCGCAAUUCUAAAGGUCUUCGCUUUCAUCUCUUAUUAGCAAUCCUGAAUUCACAGGUAGCAAAUUCAGGUGUGAACGUAACCGUUGCUUUAUUUUUUCUGGACUGAAUUGAUUUCCUCUUCCGAGCCCCUGUUCCAUCAUGAGGCGGGCAAUUAGUUACUUAAUUUUUGGUUGAUUCCAGGCAAUCUAGGCCAACGCAUUUAUGGCAGAUGUUACUUCUUACCACUACUCCGCUUCUCUCCUUCUGAGUGAACAGGAGGACAGCACCUCCCCACCUCCUUGAAGGUAGGUGUGACCAGAGGACUGUUUUUGGCCAAUGAAAUGGGAGCAGGAACCGGUCACUUCUGGGAAGAAGCAUUUAGGAGUUUCUGUGCAGUUGUCCGUGUUCUUUCUUUCUCUUCCUUCAACCGUGGAGGGAUAGGUUGUUACAUAAAUGCCACAAAACUGAAGUACCUUGAAUGCCAGGUUACCACAUGGGGGUCUUCUGCCUCAGGGGGUUGCCUGGACGUGUACUUGGUUUUUCAUGAGCAGGAAAGAAACUUUUGUUUCUUAAUUUUCUCACAGUUAUGGAGGCUGGAAGUCCAAGAUCAAGAGGCCUCCAGGUUCGGUUUCUUCUGAGGCCUCUCCCCGCUUGGUGUGCAGACGGCCGCCUUCUCCCUGUGGUCCGACAUGGUCUUUUCUCUAUUCAUGUGUCCCCAGUGUCUCUCUGUGUGUCCAAAA